GAUGAACGCUGGCGGCGUGCCUAAUACAUGCAAGUCGAGCGAACAGAUGAGGAGCUUGCUCCUCUGACGUUAGCGGCGGACGGGUGAGUAACACGUGGAUAACCUACCUAUAAGACUGGGAUAACUUCGGGAAACCGGAGCUAAUACCGGAUAAUAUAUUGAACCGCAUGGUUCAAUAGUGAAAGACGGUUUUGCUGUCACUUAUAGAUGGAUCCGCGCCGCAUUAGCUAGUUGGUAAGGUAACGGCUUACCAAGGCAACGAUGCGUAGCCGACCUGAGAGGGUGAUCGGCCACACUGGACCUAAGACACGGUCCAGACUCCUACGGGAGGCAGAAGUAGGGAAUCUUCCGCAGUGGGCGAAAGCCUGACGGAGCAACGCCGCGUGAGUGAUGAAGGUCUUCGGAUCGUAAAACUCUGUUAUUAGGGAAGAACAAAUGUGUAAAUAACUAUGCACGUCUUGACGGUACCUAAUCAGAAAGCCACGGCUACCUACGU
Molecule: ribosomal RNA, 496 nt
Filed under: uncultured bacterium
Lineage: Bacteria
Description: partial 16S ribosomal RNA
Rfam family: Bacterial small subunit ribosomal RNA
Source: RNAcentral